This 728-nucleotide long non-coding RNA is filed under the name Spirodela polyrhiza (greater duckweed). RNAcentral describes it as "long non-coding RNA (SPOL_LNC000416)". Lineage: Eukaryota; Viridiplantae; Streptophyta; Magnoliopsida; Alismatales; Araceae. The record is from RNAcentral.
CACGAUGUUGUCCUGCCCGCUCAGGUGCUGCAUUAUCUGGAUCUCCCUCUUGACGUCCUCCCGGUCGCUCUUGUUCACCAGCUUGCGCUUGGAGAUGGACUUGCAGGCGUACUUGACCCCGGUGGAAUUGCAGGUGCAGAGGUAGGUGACGCCGAACUGGCCCCUCCCUAGCUCCUUGCCCAUCGUGUAGCGGGCUUUCACGUCCUCGAAGGGCUUCCCGAGGAUGGUCUCCACUGCGGCGGCGGCGGCGGCGGCGGCAGCAGCGGGAUCAGAGCGGGGAGAAGGGAGGUGCUUAUUGGGGGAAGGGGAAGUGUAGACUGGUGCUGCCGGAGGAGGGGCAGAGUGCUGGUGACUCUGCUGAUGGUGGGUCUGCUGAUGGUAGCCCUGGUGGCCGCCCUGGUGGCCGUGGUGAUGGCCCUGGGGAUGGCUCUGGUGAUCACUCUGGUGGUGGUGGUGGUCUUGGACCGGGUGCUGCGGAUGGUGAGCGGCGGGGGCGGCGGCGAGGGCUUGUAGGGCUGCGGUGGCGGUGGCUGGUAUCCAUUGCCCGCUGGCUCCGAGGUCUUGCUGAAACAGAGGCCCAUCUCCUCCUCCUCCUCAGUGGCAGGCCGGGAUCAGGUUUCUUCCCUGCCAUCAUCAACAGACGAAGACAUCGAAAUCGCCGAUUCAGUCAGACCUUCCGCGCAGGGAAUCGAAACAACCGAGCGCCUCGUCGCCAUCAUCAUUGCAAN